RNAcentral lists this ribosomal RNA (467 nucleotides) under uncultured bacterium. Its description in RNAcentral is "partial 16S ribosomal RNA". It matches the Rfam family "Bacterial small subunit ribosomal RNA", at positions 28 to 507 of the family's 1533-position model. The record is from RNAcentral.
GACGAACGCUGGCGGCGUGCUUAACACAUGCAAGUCGAACGGAAAGGCCCUGCUUUUGUGGGGUGCUCGAGUGGCGAACGGGUGAGUAACACGUGAGUAACCUGCCCUUGACUUUGGGAUAACUUCAGGAAACCGGGGCUAAUACCGGAUAGGAGCUCCUGCUGCAUGGUGGGGGUUGGAAAGUUUCGGCGGUUGGGGAUGGACUCGCGGCUUAUCAGCUUGUUGGUGGGGUAGUGGCUUACCAAGGCUUUGACGGGUAGCCGGCCUGAGAGGGUGACCGGCCACAUUGGGACUGAGAUACGGCCCAGACUCCUACGGGAGGCAGCAGUGGGGAAUAUUGCACAAUGGCGGAAGCCUGAUGCAGCAACGCCGCGUGCGGGAUGACGGCCUUCGGGUUGUAAACCACUUUCGCCUGUGACGAAGCGUGAGUGACGGUAAUGGGUAAAGAAGCACCGGCUAACUACGUG